UUCCAAACAUUAUUUUAGAUGUCACCUCAAGUUAUCACACUGUACCUGCUAAUUAUGAAAGGUGUAUUUUUAGCCUCCAUUUUCCAAUGUCCAUUAAAUAAAACAGAAUGGGAAAACAAAUCAAAGAAGUUCUUUUGUCAAGGAAAUGAAGCAUACCAUUGUUUUCUUAUGGAAGAUACAUUGUCUAGAAGAGAAAGCUGUAUUGGACUUACUAAGAUCGCUAAAGGAUACUGUCCAAUAUUCACAACAACUGGCUUCUUACAUUGGAGACUAUGUAAUAUGACAG
Saccostrea cuccullata (small rock oyster) is the source of this 286-nucleotide long non-coding RNA. RefSeq lists it as uncharacterized. The transcript is spliced from 3 exons. Lineage: Eukaryota; Metazoa; Mollusca; Bivalvia; Ostreida; Ostreidae. The record is from RefSeq and is a predicted model, not a curated record.